The sequence is a ribosomal RNA, 1557 nucleotides long. It matches the Rfam family "Bacterial small subunit ribosomal RNA".
UUUUAUGGAGAGUUUGAUCCUGGCUCAGGAUGAACGCUGGCGGCGUGCCUAAUACAUGCAAGUCGAGCGAACGGACGAGAAGCUUGCUUCUCUGAUGUUAGCGGCGGACGGGUGAGUAACACGUGGAUAACCUACCUAUAAGACUGGGAUAACUUCGGGAAACCGGAGCUAAUACCGGAUAAUAUUUUGAACCGCAUGGUUCAAAAGUGAAAGACGGUCUUGCUGUCACUUAUAGAUGGAUCCGCGCUGCAUUAGCUAGUUGGUAAGGUAACGGCUUACCAAGGCAACGAUGCAUAGCCGACCUGAGAGGGUGAUCGGCCACACUGGAACUGAGACACGGUCCAGACUCCUACGGGAGGCAGCAGUAGGGAAUCUUCCGCAAUGGGCGAAAGCCUGACGGAGCAACGCCGCGUGAGUGAUGAAGGUCUUCGGAUCGUAAAACUCUGUUAUUAGGGAAGAACAUAUGUGUAAGUAACUGUGCACAUCUUGACGGUACCUAAUCAGAAAGCCACGGCUAACUACGUGCCAGCAGCCGCGGUAAUACGUAGGUGGCAAGCGUUAUCCGGAAUUAUUGGGCGUAAAGCGCGCGUAGGCGGUUUUUUAAGUCUGAUGUGAAAGCCCACGGCUCAACCGUGGAGGGUCAUUGGAAACUGGAAAACUUGAGUGCAGAAGAGGAAAGUGGAAUUCCAUGUGUAGCGGUGAAAUGCGCAGAGAUAUGGAGGAACACCAGUGGCGAAGGCGACUUUCUGGUCUGUAACUGACGCUGAUGUGCGAAAGCGUGGGGAUCAAACAGGAUUAGAUACCCUGGUAGUCCACGCCGUAAACGAUGAGUGCUAAGUGUUAGGGGGUUUCCGCCCCUUAGUGCUGCAGCUAACGCAUUAAGCACUCCGCCUGGGGAGUACGACCGCAAGGUUGAAACUCAAAGGAAUUGACGGGGACCCGCACAAGCGGUGGAGCAUGUGGUUUAAUUCGAAGCAACGCGAAGAACCUUACCAAAUCUUGACAUCCUUUGACAACUCUAGAGAUAGAGCUUUCCCCUUCGGGGGACAAAGUGACAGGUGGUGCAUGGUUGUCGUCAGCUCGUGUCGUGAGAUGUUGGGUUAAGUCCCGCAACGAGCGCAACCCUUAAGCUUAUUUGCCAUCAUUAAGUUGGGCACUCUAAGUUGACUGCCGGUGACAAACCGGAGGAAGGUGGGGAUGACGUCAAAUCAUCAUGCCCCUUAUGAUUUGGGCUACACACGUGCUACAAUGGACAAUACAAAGGGCAGCGAAACCGCGAGGUCAAGCAAAUCCCAUAAAGUUGUUCUCAGUUCGGAUUGUAGUCUGCAACUCGACUACAUGAAGCUGGAAUCGCUAGUAAUCGUAGAUCAGCAUGCUACGGUGAAUACGUUCCCGGGUCUUGUACACACCGCCCGUCACACCACGAGAGUUUGUAACACCCGAAGCCGGUGGAGUAACCUUUUAGGAGCUAGCCGUCGAAGGUGGGACAAAUGAUUGGGGUGAAGUCGUAACAAGGUAGCCGUAUCGGAAGGUGCGGCUGGAUCACCUCCUUUCUAA